RNAcentral lists this long non-coding RNA (1299 nucleotides) under Brassica napus (rape). RNAcentral's name for it is "long non-coding RNA (BNAP_LNC006157)". Lineage: Eukaryota; Viridiplantae; Streptophyta; Magnoliopsida; Brassicales; Brassicaceae. The record is from RNAcentral.
UAUAUUUAUUUAUUUAUGAACUUAAAAAGGACUUUGCUACUCAUUCAUGUGUUGAGUUCUUGAAAUUUGAUUGUAACAACAUAUUUUAGGUUGUAUAAAUUUGAUUAUGAUAUGUUAAUACAUCUUGUUACUAACUUCAUACAAUAUAUAAAUGAAUCAUUGUAGACAAGUGCUUUGGUGGAUGAAUUAAACCGAGUGAGUGCUGAGAACAAGAAGCUCUCGGAGAUGCUAACUUUAAUGUGUGAAAACUACAACGUCUUGAGGAAACAGCUGAUGGAAUAUGUUAACAAGAGCAACAACGUGACAGAGAGAGACCAAAUCAGUCCUCCCAAGAAACGCAAAUCUCCAGCGAGAGAUGACGCAGUUAGCUCUGCGGUUAUCGGUGGAGUGUCAGAGAGUAGCUCUACGGAUCAAGAUGGUCAGUAUCUGUGCAAGAAGAAGCAGAGAGAAGAGACUGUUGUGAAGGAAAAUGUCUCAAGGGUUUAUUACAAGACCGAAGCUUCUGACACUACCCUCGUAAGCUUUUCAUGAAAACUAGCUAGUAAAUUUGGUAUAAAUAUCUUAUAAAAACUAUAUAUGUUUUUAUUGAUUAUAGAAGUUGUGUUCUUUAUAGGUAGUGAAAGAUGGGUAUCAAUGGAGGAAAUAUGGACAGAAAGUGACUAGAGACAACCCAUCUCCAAGAGCUUACUUCAAAUGUGCUUGUGCUCCAAGCUGUUCUGUCAAAAAGAAGGUACUACUAAUCAAGAUUAAGAAACAAAAAAAAAACAGAAUUAGAAUAAAUGGAAUGAUAAUACAUGAAAAAAUGGAACGGAACUCAUUCCAUUCAUUCAUAACCAAAUUUGUUAUGGAAUAAUUUUCUUUGUAUUUUAUCUCUUUUGUCGUGGAAUUAAUGGAAUGAAUAUUCUAUUCCAUUCAUGUCAAAUGGUGAAAUUUUUUUUGGAAUUAAUGGAAUGAGUCAUUCCACAUCGUUCCAUUCCAAAAAUCAACAAUCGAAUUGCAGCCUAUAUGUAUGGAUGUAUGCACACAAAGAUUUUUAUAUAUACUUGGUAUAUAUUUGUUUAUUUAUUUAUGAACUUAAAAAGGACUUUGCUACUAAUUCAUGUGUUAAGUUCUUGAAAUUUGAUUGUAACAACAUAUUUUAAGGUUGUAUAAAUUUGAUUGUGAUAUGCUAAUACAUCUUGUUACUAACUUCAUACAGUAUAUAUAUAUAAAUGAAUCAUUGUAGACAAGUGCUUUGGUGGAUGAAUUAAACCGAGUGAGUGCUGAGAACAAGAAGCUCUCGGAGAUGCUAACUUUAAU